GUACAGUGGCGAACGGGUGAGUAACACGUGGGCAACCUGCCCCGGAGAGAGGGACAACCCGAGGAAACUCGGGCUAAUACCUCAUGAUCCGUCCCGACUUAAGUCGGGCCGGCAAACGGUAGCUUCGGCCUCCGCUCUGGGAUGGGCCCGCGCCGGAUUAGCUAGUUGGUGAGGUAACGGCUCACCAAGGCGACGAUCGGUAUCCGGCCUGAGAGGGCGGACGGACACACUGGGACUGAGACACGGCCCAGACUCCUACGGGAGGCAGCAGUGGGGAAUUGUUCGCAAUGGGCGCAAGCCUGACGACGCAACGCCGCGUGGAGGACGAAGAUUUUCGGAUCGUAAACUCCUUUCGAUCGGGAAGAACAGCUCAUAGGUAAAUAGCCUGAGAGUCUGACGGUACCGAGAGAAGAAGCCCCGGCUAACUCCGUGCCAGCAGCCGCGGUAAUACGGGGGGGGCAAGCGUUGUUCGGAAUUACUGGGCGUAAAGGGGUUGUAGGCGGCCAACUAAGUCCGACGUGAAAUCCCAAGGCUUAACCUUGGAACUGCGUCGGAUA
This 557-nucleotide ribosomal RNA is filed under the name uncultured bacterium. Its description in RNAcentral is "bacterial SSU rRNA". It matches the Rfam family "Bacterial small subunit ribosomal RNA", at positions 90 to 632 of the family's 1533-position model. The record is from RNAcentral.